Molecule: long non-coding RNA, 2627 nt
Organism: Fundulus heteroclitus (mummichog)
Lineage: Eukaryota; Metazoa; Chordata; Actinopteri; Cyprinodontiformes; Fundulidae
Exons: 2
Source: RefSeq, a predicted model, not a curated record
GUUUGGGCCGUGCCGAAAACCAGCCACUGCCAGAAAAGGAGAGAAAUCUCUCCGGACAGAAGGGAUGAUAAGGAGGAGGGUGAUGUCCUGUGGGGUUGGACCUUAAGGGUGAGAAGAGAAAAUGGGUGCGUUGUUAGGGAGUAUGAGUAGGAGUGGGAGAGACAUGAUGUGACAAUACAGCCUGAGUUAGGGAGUAAAGUGGGGUGUUGGGAGGGAAAGUGAAAGAGAGAGAGAGAGAAAAAAGCCCUCUGACAGCCUGAGAAACCUUGAGGUGCCAUCUGGCGUGUGGGGGCCAAAGGACAGGGCUCGGCGACCUUUGACCCAUAUCCUCCUUUUAACAAACAUCCCGGUGCUACAGAUUUAUGGGCUGCUUAGGAGCAAUAACUGUCUGAGGCAUGUGGAGGAAGCAAGCUGCGUUCCUCUGUCUUUCAGGUGACUAGACACCAGAAAUGAUUCCAAACGCUGAGACGUUGUGUCUCACUUGUGAGUUUAACCCGAGAGCGUGUCAGACAACACGGGGUGCAGAGAGGAAGAGUGAACGACAUGCUCAGCAUGUUGACAUCAUGGAUGCUAAUUCUGCAUGGCGCUGGUGACCUCUCAUAGAAGGCGGCCCAGAAUUCCAGAAAUUUACUCCUUUCGGGAAGCGGCAGGAUCAGUAAUGCUAACUAUGUGUAGCAUUCCUGGGAAGAUUGUACCACAGCCGGAAUGCCCUCAUAUUAAUGCUCUCUAUUUCAGCGGUAUGUCUCAAUCGAGGGCUGCAACAACCCAAUGCCCGCAUUGUUUCCAGACCUCUUUUGUGAGGGAGUCAGGGGGGGAAAAAAAUCAUUUAGUUUCUACAAGCAUGAAAAGAUUUUAUUGAAGCGCAGAGUGAAAGUGUACCACUGUUGUGGUCGUGGAGCAAGGGCAAAAUGUUCGCUGCCUGCAAAAAAAAUGCCCUCACUCAGCGGUGCCAUUCCAAAACCAAACCCGUUCUCUUUCACUGAGGUCGGGCAGCGUCAUAGCAACAGAGGGAGAGAUGCAUAAAAGAUGACUUCAGAGGCAACACUUUGACAUGCACUUCCACAACCAGACACACGAUGGGCUGCUUUCAACCAAACUCAGGUCAACUGAGACUGUUCUGUCCAAGCACUAGAUGUUAUGCCACUCUUUGUUUAUGAAAAACACAUUUGAACGUAAUUAAAUUAUUGUAUUUAAAACACAUUACUUUUUGGGAUGCAAAGAGAGAAAAAAAGGACUUGGUGCUUCCUCACUAACCCCUUCAGCCCUUUCUCCAUAUUUCUCCAAAUUCUUAAACAUUUAGUUAAAUAAUUUCCUCCAUGGUCAAAGUUGUGUCAAUUAAAAGAAAAGAGGAAGUAGUUCUAGUCGUUUACAAAGAACAAAACACAUUUUUGUUACCAAAACCUUGGGAACUAAAUUCACAUUCCCAACUUGAACUUGGUCGUAUUUAUUCAUCAUAUUCUUUUAUGAAAUUAAAUAAAAAAAUAUGUCAUUGUGAUGGAUUAGCACCCUGACCACUGCUUAUCUUUUUGGUUUGUUUUAAUUUUCUCAAAAAGCUGCUCUCCUUAACAUGAUUUACUGUUUCUGUUGUCAGAAACCAAAAUGCAAUUGUAUUUUUUCAGAAAAGCAGUCCAUUAAGUGUAGGUUUUGAACCUGUGCCACUGUCAUAGAGAAAUGUUAGAAGAGACAGAUUUCUGUUUAUUCCACUGCUAAUCCAGAAGCAGGCUCUCACGCAAUAACUUCAAAAGUGGGGUGCCAAAACAAACUGAAUAACCUAUGAGUUUUGAUGGUCAGGGUAGGAGCAUUAAAUUUGUUUUAUUAAUGCUGUUCGUUUCAUUAAUCGUUUGGUUUUAUUUGAAUGUGUACAGGCUUUCGACAGUGUAACAUAAAACCGUAUACAUGAUAAAUUAGGAGUGGGUGGAAAAAUAAAUGUAUUUAUUCCCACUCCUUCAUGCAUCAACAUCAGCAUGCCUUACUAUUCUUAUCUAAAUAGUACAAAGAUUAAAUAUUAGUGAACUACAUUUUACAUAAAAUAUUUAGAUGUUUGUCUUUCUUAUAAAUUUUAGUGGUCUUGACAUUUAAAUAAAUAUACUCUUGUGUACGGUACUUAACUAAAAUAAUAAAAUAACUAUAGCAGCAAUAUCAACAACCAUACCUUGUUUUCUUAUUAAUUACCUUAUUUAUUUAUUAAACAAAUGUUCUACCUAUACAAUUAGUAGCAAGAGAAUAGCAAAUAUUACUCAUUGUAUCCCAUAAUGACCAUAAUUCUUGUAUAAGGAUUAUAACUGUUUUGUGUUUGGACAUUGCUUUAGUUCAGAAAGUUUAAAACUCUUUCUGGUGGAACAGAGAGACAUGUUUGUGUCAGUGAAGAGAUAUUUGUCCACAUUCUUUGUAAAGUGCCAUUACCUUGGCUAUUUUCAUUUUAUCUGGAAAUGAACCUGUUUGAAAUGACAAAAAAACUUAAGUGGGAUUUACUUAUAUUAUUCUAUUUACAUGUUGUAUGUUUCUUUGUGGCUCAAUAAUUUGUUUAGAUAAAUCUGGCCUGUUUUAAAGAAUAACAGUUAAAGCUGUUUGCACUUUCAUUCAUGGUAUAAAUUUCAGAAUUUUUUAUCAAUAAAACUACUUGGGUA